Molecule: long non-coding RNA, 721 nt
Filed under: Pan troglodytes (chimpanzee)
Lineage: Eukaryota; Metazoa; Chordata; Mammalia; Primates; Hominidae
Description: long non-coding RNA NONPTRT010809
Source: RNAcentral
GGAACGUAUCGCCUAAUACAUAAUUCUUGUCAUUAGAUGAUUUUUCCUGUAAAGGAGCUAAUAAGAAUAUUCUCAUAAUUUAUUGUUCAUUAUGAUUUUGAUAUAUACUUAGUAAAGAUAAGUAAGGUACUUGGCCCAGCCAGGAAGAGGUGAUACAUCCUUAGAAAGCUAAUGCUAACCUCCAUCGGAAAAUGUCUAUCAAUCAAAACAGAGACAGUUGGACCAAUGUUUCAACGUUCCUGAACAGUUCUUCAGCAACUGGAGGUAAUAGUGCAAAGAAGGGUGCAGUCCCAGAGGCUCAGCCUGCGCUGACAAUGCAGUUCUAACAAGCUUCCCGCGGAUGGCUUCCAUUCUAGUAACAACUUUGGACAGGACUUUAAGUCUUUGAAGAGAUGGGGUCCUGCUGGUCUCAAGCUCCUGGGCUCAAGUGACCCUCCUUACAUCAGCUUCCGGAAUAGCUGGGACUCCAGGUACAAGCUGCUGCGCUCUGCAGGUUUCCCUUUUUAUGUCUGGGUUUCUGAUUCAUUUGGAAUUUAAAUGUACACUAUGCAAGAUGGAUCCAAUUUUAUCCUUUUCCACAGGGUGAUCUUAUUGUCAAAAUACCACUUGUUAGAAGUAAUUUUUACCACUGAUUUUAAAUGCUAUCUUUAUCAAUCACUAAAUUUCCAAAUGCACAUGGAUCGAUUUCUGGAUUUUAAACUUUUCCAUUGUUCUAUUCCUG